AACGAACGCUGGCGGCAUGCCUAACACAUGCAAGUCGAACGAGACCUUCGGGUCUAGUGGCGCACGGGUGCGUAACGCGUGGGAACCUGCCCUUAGGUUCGGAAUAACUCCCCGAAAGGGGUGCUAAUACCGGAUAAUGUCUUCGGACCAAAGAUUUAUCGCCUUUGGAUGGGCCCGCGUUGGAUUAGCUAGUUGGUAGGGUAAAAGCCUACCAAGGCGACGAUCCAUAGCUGGUCUGAGAGGAUGAUCAGCCACACUGGGACUGAGACACGGCCCAGACGCAGAGCGGAGGCGAGCGGGGAGAAUAUUGGGAAAGGGGGGCAAGAGGGGUCGAGCGAUGGGGCUUGUGUGAAGAAGGCGUUGGUGUUUUAGUCUUCUUUAACGUGGGAUGAUAAUGACAUGAGCGGAAAAAGAACCCCCGGCGACCUCCGUGCCGGAGGCGGCGCUAAUAGGGGGACCAGCACAUGCAUGAAC
RNAcentral lists this ribosomal RNA (474 nucleotides) under uncultured bacterium. Its description in RNAcentral is "partial 16S ribosomal RNA". It matches the Rfam family "Bacterial small subunit ribosomal RNA", at positions 35 to 539 of the family's 1533-position model. The record is from RNAcentral.